CUUUGCACCAAUCGAUUCCUCAGACAUUUUAGAAUCGUCUCAUAAAUUUUAAAAAAAAAAUCGAUUGUCUAAUAUAAUAGAAAAUCUUGGAAAUGUAACAAUUCCUGCCGAAUUUCACGAUUUUCCCUAUAUAUCCUUUGUAAUUUUGGUGUAUGAUGCUGUUAACUUCAACAGCUCGUAUCUCAAAAACGAAAACGGUUACCCCCUUUUUUUAUUUUAUUUUCCGAUUUAUUUUUACAAGCAGAAUCUACAUGUAAAAUUAAAAAAAAAAUCCAUUGUGUAGUUUAAUUACGUACACUUCGCCUUAAGACAAA
Molecule: long non-coding RNA, 314 nt
Filed under: Mytilus galloprovincialis (Mediterranean mussel)
Lineage: Eukaryota; Metazoa; Mollusca; Bivalvia; Mytilida; Mytilidae
Source: RNAcentral